This 1022-nucleotide ribosomal RNA is filed under the name Salmonella enterica subsp. enterica serovar Typhimurium. RNAcentral describes it as "partial 23S ribosomal RNA". It matches the Rfam family "Bacterial large subunit ribosomal RNA", at positions 1918 to 2925 of the family's 2925-position model. Lineage: Bacteria; Pseudomonadati; Pseudomonadota; Gammaproteobacteria; Enterobacterales; Enterobacteriaceae. The record is from RNAcentral.
CCCCGGUAAACGGCGGCCGUAACUAUAACGGUCCUAAGGUAGCGAAAUUCCUUGUCGGGUAAGUUCCGACCUGCACGAAUGGCGUAAUGAUGGCCAGGCUGUCUCCACCCGAGACUCAGUGAAAUUGAACUCGCUGUGAAGAUGCAGUGUACCCGCGGCAAGACGGAAAGACCCCGUGAACCUUUACUAUAGCUUGACACUGAACAUUGAGCCUUGAUGUGUAGGAUAGGUGGGAGGCUUUGAAGUGUGGACGCCAGUCUGCAUGGAGCCGACCUUGAAAUACCACCCUUUAAUGUUUGAUGUUCUAACGUGGACCCGUAAUCCGGGUUGCGGACAGUGUCUGGUGGGUAGUUUGACUGGGGCGGUCUCCUCCUAAAGAGUAACGGAGGAGCACGAAGGUUGGCUAAUCCUGGUCGGACAUCAGGAGGUUAGUGCAAUGGCAUAAGCCAGCUUGACUGCGAGCGUGACGGCGCGAGCAGGUGCGAAAGCAGGUCAUAGUGAUCCGGUGGUUCUGAAUGGAAGGGCCAUCGCUCAACGGAUAAAAGGUACUCCGGGGAUAACAGGCUGAUACCGCCCAAGAGUUCAUAUCGACGGCGGUGUUUGGCACCUCGAUGUCGGCUCAUCACAUCCUGGGGCUGAAGUAGGUCCCAAGGGUAUGGCUGUUCGCCAUUUAAAGUGGUACGCGAGCUGGGUUUAGAACGUCGUGAGACAGUUCGGUCCCUAUCUGCCGUGGGCGCUGGAGAACUGAGGGGGGCUGCUCCUAGUACGAGAGGACCGGAGUGGACGCAUCACUGGUGUUCGGGUUGUCAUGCCAAUGGCACUGCCCGGUAGCUAAAUGCGGAAGAGAUAAGUGCUGAAAGCAUCUAAGCACGAAACUUGCCCCGAGAUGAGUUCUCCCUGAGACUUAGAGUCUCCUGAAGGAACGUUGAAGACGACGACGUUGAUAGGCCGGGUGUGUAAGCGCAGCGAUGCGUUGAGCUAACCGGUACUAAUGAACCGUGAGGCUUAACCUUACAACGCCG